GACGAACGCUGGCGGCGUGCCUAAUACGUGCAAGUCGAGCGGACGAAUCGAAAGCUUGCUUUUGAUUCGUUAGCGGCGGACGGGUGAGUAACACGUGGGCAACCUGCCCUGUAGACGGGGAUAACACCGAGAAAUCGGUGCGAAUAGCGGAUAACACGAAAUGUCGCAUGACGUUUCGUUGAAAGACGGCGCAAGCUGUCGCUACAGGAUGCGCCCGCGGCGCAUUAGCUAGUUGGUGAGGUAACGGCUCACCAAGGCAACGAGGCGUAGCCGAACUGAGAGGGUGAGCGACCACACUGGGACUGAGACACGGCCCAGACUCCUACGGGAGGCAGCAGUAGGGAAUCUUCCGCAAUGGACGAAAGUCUGACGGAGCAACGCCGCGUGAGCGAAGAAGGCCUUCGGGUCGUAAAGCUCUGUUGUUAGGGAAGAACAAGUAACGCAGUAACUGGCGUUACCGUGACGGUACCUAACGAGAAAGCCACGGCUAACUACGUGCCAGCCGCCGCCGUAA
Molecule: ribosomal RNA, 514 nt
Filed under: uncultured bacterium
Lineage: Bacteria
Description: partial 16S ribosomal RNA
Rfam family: Bacterial small subunit ribosomal RNA
Source: RNAcentral